RNAcentral lists this ribosomal RNA (253 nucleotides) under uncultured bacterium. RNAcentral describes it as "partial 16S ribosomal RNA". It matches the Rfam family "Bacterial small subunit ribosomal RNA", at positions 524 to 776 of the family's 1533-position model. The record is from RNAcentral.
UACGGAGGGUGCAAGCGUUAUCCGGAUUCACUGGGUUUAAAGGGUGCGUAGGUGGGCUUGUAAGUCAGUGGUGAAAUCUCCGUGCUUAACAUGGAAACUGCCAUUGAUACUAUAGGUCUUGAAUUUUCUGGAGGUCAGCGGAAUAUGUCAUGUAGCGGUGAAAUGCUUAGAUAUGACAUAGAACACCAAUUGCGAAGGCAGCUGGCUACAGGGAUAUUGACACUGAGGCACGAAAGCGUGGGGAUCAAACAGG